AUUGAACGCUGGCGGUAUGCUUAACACAUGCAAGUCGAACGGCAGCACGGUAUGUAGCAAUACAUAUGGGUGGCAAGUGGCGGACGGGUGAGUAACGCGUAGGAAUCUGCCCUCAAGCGGGGGACAACCCGAGGAAACUCGGGCUAAUACCGCAUAAACUCGGAAGAGAAAAGCUGGGGUAACCUGGCAAUUGAGGAGGAGCCUGCGUCUGAUUAGCUAGUUGGUAGGGUAAAGGCCUACCAAGGCGAUGAUCAGUAGCUGGUCUGAGAGGAUAACCAGCCACACUGGAACUGAGACACGGUCCAGACUCCUACGGGAGGCAGCAGUGGGGAAUAUUGGACAAUGGGGGGAAACCCUGAUCCAGCAAUACCGCGUGUGUGAAGAAGGCCUUCGGGUUGUAAAGCACUUUAGUUGGGGAGGAAGGUUAGCAGUUUAAGAGAUGGCUAAUUUGACUGUACCCAAAGAAUAAGCACCGGCUAACUCUGUGCCAGCCGCCGCGGUAA
Molecule: ribosomal RNA, 503 nt
Filed under: uncultured bacterium
Lineage: Bacteria
Description: partial 16S ribosomal RNA
Rfam family: Bacterial small subunit ribosomal RNA
Source: RNAcentral